This 254-nucleotide ribosomal RNA is filed under the name uncultured Stenotrophomonas sp. RNAcentral describes it as "partial 16S ribosomal RNA". It matches the Rfam family "Bacterial small subunit ribosomal RNA", at positions 99 to 356 of the family's 1533-position model. Lineage: Bacteria; Pseudomonadati; Pseudomonadota; Gammaproteobacteria; Lysobacterales; Lysobacteraceae. The record is from RNAcentral.
CGGACGGGUGAGGAAUACAUCGGAAUCUACUCUGUCGUGGGGGAUAACGUAGGGAAACUUACGCUAAUACCGCAUACGACCUACGGGUGAAAGCAGGGGAUCUUCGGACCUUGCGCGAUUGAAUGAGCCGAUGUCGGAUUAGCUAGUUGGCGGGGUAAAGGCCCACCAAGGCGACGAUCCGUAGCUGGUCUGAGAGGAUGAUCAGCCACACUGGAACUGAGACACGGUCCAGACUCCUACGGGAGGCAGCAGUG